AACUUUCGGCAAUGGAUCACUUGGCUCUCGCAUCGAUGAAGAACGCAGCGAAAUGCGAUAAGUAAUGUGAAUUGCAGAUUUCAGUGAAUCAUCGAAUCUUUGAACGCACCUUGCGCCCUGUGGUAUUCCGCAGGGCAUGCCCGUUUGAGUAUCAUUAAAUCUUCAACCUCAACACCUUUGUGUUUUUGUGGCUUGGUCUUGAGGGUUUUUGCAGGCUUUUCUAAAGUCCGCUCCCUUUAAAUUCAUUAGAGAGUCUUCCCUUAGUUUGAGCCGUCUCAUUGGCAUGAUAAUUAUCUGUGUCAACGUUGGGUCUCGUUGAGCUUGCUUCUACUCGUCUUCGGACAACAGGAUUAUGGGUGCAUAUAUGCACUCAUUUUCCAAGCCUUUUUGAUCUCAAAACGGGUAGGACUACCCGCUGAACUUAAGCAUAUCGAUAAGCGGAGGCU
This 446-nucleotide unclassified non-coding RNA is filed under the name uncultured Corticiaceae. RNAcentral describes it as "sequence contains ITS2". The stretch from base 1 to 154 matches the Rfam family "5.8S ribosomal RNA". Lineage: Eukaryota; Fungi; Basidiomycota; Agaricomycetes; Corticiales; Corticiaceae. The record is from RNAcentral.